Molecule: ribosomal RNA, 541 nt
Filed under: uncultured bacterium
Lineage: Bacteria
Description: bacterial SSU rRNA
Rfam family: Bacterial small subunit ribosomal RNA
Source: RNAcentral
UGGGGAAUAUUGCGCAAUGGGGGAAACCCUGACGCAGCCAUGCCGCGUGAGUGAAGAAGGUCUUAGGGUCGUAAAGCUCUUUCGCCUGUGAAGAUAAUGACGGUAGCAGGUAAAGAAACCCCGGCUAACUCCGUGCCAGCAGCCGCGGUAAUACGGAGGGGGUUAGCGUUGUUCGGAAUUACUGGGCGUAAAGCGCACGUAGGCGGACCAGAAAGUUGGGGGUGAAAUCCCGGGGGCUCAACCCCGGAACUGCCUCCAAAACUAUUGGUCUAGAGUUCGAGAGAGGUGAGUGGAAUUCCAAGUGUAGAGGUGAAAUUCGUAGAUAUUUGGAGGAACACCAGUGGCGAAGGCGGCUCACUGGCUCGAUACUGACGCUGAGGUGCGAAAGUGUGGGGAGCAAACAGGAUUAGAUACCCUGGUAGUCCACACCGUAAAACGAUGAAUGCCAGUCGUCGGGUAGCAUGCUAUUCGGUGACACACCUAACGGAUUAAGCAUUCCGCCUGGGGAGUACGGUCGCAAGAUUAAAACUCAAAUGAAUUG